AAGUGCAGUCACUGUGUCAGAGGCUGUGGACAGGGAGGAGGGAGACAGAGGGCAGAGCCGUGAAAGGACAGGAGGGGGAGGGGAGUCCGGCCUACACGGUAACUGUGGACACUCACAAGCACAACUCUCUGCCAUGGCCCCUGUGGUGAAGAGAAGAGGAGGAGGCAGGAGAGGAGAAAGAACAGGGCAUUCGGCAGGUGGUAGAGUGCUGAUAGCCUGAAGAGUACCUUUGUGAAAAUUAGAAAAUGGCACUUGUUCUGUGUGCACUCCACCCUGUGUCAGCCCUCAGAGCUUGGCAAGCUCAGGACAGGCUGUUUCAGUGUCUACUGUGUCUUCCACCUAGAACCUCGUUCAGUGAGCAGCCUACACAACUGUGACCAGCAGUCCUGGCUUGGGGGAAGACUGGCCCAAGUGCUGUGGAAGAUGAGGGCUCAUGAAGAACUGAGAUAAGUGAAGUCAAAGCUGCCCUUGAUAUGGCUACCUGAUGGGUAUGAAGAUGACACCUCUUUCAGAAAGAAGAAGGACAAGAAAAGAGAGAGAGAGAGAGAGAGAGAGAGAAUAUAAGAUGGACCUGUGCAGUAGAUCCCAUCAUCUGUGGUUUCACUUCUGUGGUUUCAGUGACUUGAGGUCAACAGAGGUCUGCAAAUAGGGUGAAUUGCAAUAAGUGCCAAAUGUAUGCAUAAGAAAAGGCAGUCCAGUCAUGUGCCCCACCAUGAUCUUCAGUCAAGGAUGGACAGCAUGUGGCAGGCUACAACUGGGUGUAGCCUGGGUGAGUACUAUGUUGUCCACACAAUGAUGAAACCUCCUAAAGACGAGUUUCUUGGAACAUAUCCCGUCAUUAAGCAAUGCAUGUCUGUAUUAAGUUCAGUACUAUCGGUGGUUUCAGGUAUUUACUGGAGGUCUUGGGAUAUAUCUCUUGCAGAUAAGGGGGGACUACUGUAUAUAGUUAACUUAAGCACAACUAUAUAUAUACCAAAUGCAAAGAAUACUGCCCCAUCCAUUUUCCACUGGGGCAUGGAUGAACCCCAUAACUAGGUGACCUCAUUAUCUAGGGACUGAUGCUGUCUUUAAUUUUGUCAAAUGCUACUGAUGAUUUAAGUAGAAAAAAACCCCGGAUGUGUCCACUGUAUUCUUCAAGGUCAUAGUGAGCUCCUCAGUAGCAGUUCCAGCAGAAGGAGAAAGGCAGAAGCUUGGGUGGUGGGUGUUCCACCAGGGACUUUUCGGUUUGGGUCUCACUUCAGUGUUAAAGCCAAGGCCUUCCUUAGUGGUAUUUCUGUGUUCGCCUUAGUUCUGGUUCAUUUCUCUGCUACUGCAUGAAUCUGUGUGCAGAUUGGAGAUGUCGUUCUCCACUGGCUCCGCAAACAUCUUGGCUGCAGUUGCCUUCAAAUGGAUUGGGUAGGGGGCAUAUGAGACUAGAGUGUGGUGGGUGAGAGUAGCUUGGGUCUGGGGGAGGCUCUCACACCUGCAGACCUCCCCCUGUAGGGCUGGGGAGCUCUGGGAGAGAGACACCCAGCAGGCGGGAGAGCCUCUUGAUGUCCAAGGAUGUGGUUGGUGCAGGUGGCGAGUGAGGGAGAGAAGGAAAGGAGCAGAGAAAUAAAGGAGGCCUGGCAACGUCAGGCUGGGACUGGCUCUCGGUGUGGCCUUGCCGUUACCCAGAACCAGUUUCAAUAACAAAGGUCUCUGUGACUGUGGCUGUGAAGGUCCCUUCCGGUGCUGAGCUGGGACCACAUGACUGCAAGUUCAGGGGUUCAGAGCAAUUUUUUAAAUCUCCUUGUUGUUAUCAGAUGCUGUACAGCAAGUAGAGAAGGGUGCUUUUCAGAAAUGGAUUCUUUUGGAACCCAGUAUUGCUUACAAAGAAUAAAUACCAGGACGCAAUGGUCCCUUCGGCUCAUCACUCUUCUAAUGUGUGUCUCUGAGAUUUUUUUUUAUAUAUUUAACUCGUGUUCCUAAGAGGUUUUAUAAAUCUACAUGAAGAGCAUGUGGUGUGAAAGCAAAAGCCAGCUUUUAGCCUUAUCAGCAAGACCUGAGUUUCGAUUGAUUCGCAUCUGUUUGUUAGUCGGGUGACCAAGGACCAGGAGUCACACAAUGGGGACAACGCAAAUACUUUGGUUGGGGCUUCUGUGGGAACUAAGUGAGGUAGGUGGAUAUUAAGAGCUUGGCAUGGGGCCUGGCCCAUUAGCUGCUAUCAUGCCGACCCCCCCACCCCCAUGAACUAGGAGAAAGGGCAAAAAGAAUCAACCCAUUUUACAGACCUGGAAACAGGAGUUUGUAUUGAACUGACAGGAGGAGAAUCGAGUCCCACUUGGCUCGCCAAUUAAGACGUCUUCGUUCAAUAGCCCCUUCGCCGUUAACAUAAACCAGGAAAAUACCCAGGUCCCAGUUAAUCCACCAUGCUCUCCGUAGGGAAGAAUGAUGGAGCAGCCGGAGGCCAGCUCAGUGGUACCAUGGGGGCAGGGGCCAGGGGGCACGACAGUCCCUUCCACACACAACCUCGGGGACACGUUGAAAGCUGAGAGUGAUUGAAACAUUCCUGUUGCAGGGUUUCAGGCCAGGGGCAGUUGGGAUCCCGCUGUCCCGCACCCCACCUGGGUGGCUGAGCACCUGGACCGGCCGCCAUUGCGGAGGAUGGCCUCUUUCAUUUCCCCUGACACUGUGAUCUGGAGCUAGAGGUGUUGGAGUUUUCUUUCUGUUCUUUUUUUUAACCACAAGGAGGAACCAGUGUAGGAAUGGUGGUGAGCAAAAGCCCUGAGUGUGAGCAUUCCAAUUCCAGGC
Marmota monax (woodchuck) is the source of this 2772-nucleotide long non-coding RNA. RefSeq lists it as uncharacterized. The record is from RefSeq and is a predicted model, not a curated record. The transcript has 4 exons. NCBI's taxonomy places the organism in Eukaryota, Metazoa, Chordata, Mammalia, Rodentia, Sciuridae.